GAUGAACGCUGGCGGCGUGCCUAAUACAUGCAAGUCGAGCGAACGGACGAGAAGCUUGCUUCUCUGAUGUUAGCGGCGGACGUGUGAGUAACACGUGUAUAACCUACCUAUAAGUCUGGGAUAACUUCGGGAAACCGUAGCUAAUACCGUAUGAUAUUUUGAACCGCAUGGUUCAAAAGUGAAAGACGGUCUUGCUGUCACUUAUAGAUGGAUCCGCGCUUCAUUAGCUAGUUGGUAAGGUAACGGCUUACCAAGGCAACGAUGCAUAGCCGACCUGAGAGGGUGAUCGGCCACACUGGAACUGAGACACGGUCCAGACUCCUACGGGAGGCAGCAGUAGGGAAUCUUCCGCAAUGGGCGAAAGCCUGACGGAGCAAAGCCGCGUGAGUGAUGAAGGUCUUCGGAUCGUAAAACUCUGUUAUUAGGGAAGAAAAUAUGUGUAAGUAAAUGUGCACAUCUUGACGGUACCUAAUCAGAAAGCAACGGCUAACUACGUG
This 497-nucleotide ribosomal RNA is filed under the name uncultured bacterium. RNAcentral describes it as "partial 16S ribosomal RNA". It matches the Rfam family "Bacterial small subunit ribosomal RNA", at positions 28 to 507 of the family's 1533-position model. The record is from RNAcentral.